This 508-nucleotide ribosomal RNA is filed under the name uncultured Desulfobulbus sp. RNAcentral describes it as "bacterial SSU rRNA". It matches the Rfam family "Bacterial small subunit ribosomal RNA", at positions 904 to 1382 of the family's 1533-position model. Lineage: Bacteria; Pseudomonadati; Thermodesulfobacteriota; Desulfobulbia; Desulfobulbales; Desulfobulbaceae. The record is from RNAcentral.
CGCCUUGCCAGCCCGCUCAGAACUUAAGGAAUUGACGGGGGCCCGCACAAGCGGUGAGUAUGUGGUUUAAUUCGAUGCAACGCGAAGAACCUUACCUGGUCUUGACAUCCCGGAGACCCUUAGGAAACUAGGGGGUGCUUCCAUCUGGAAGAAUCUGGAGACAGGUGCUGCAUGGCUGUCGUCAGCUCGUGUCGUGAGAUGUUGGGUUAAGUCCCGCAACGAGCGCAACCCUUGCCUUUAGUUGCCAGCAGUUCGGCUGGGCACUCUAAAGGGACUGCCGGUGUUAAACCGGAGGAAGGUGGGGAUGACGUCAAGUCCUCAUGGCCUUUAUGACCAGGGCUACACACGUACUACAAUGGCCGAUACAAAGGGCAGCGACACUGCGAGGUGAAGCCAAUCCCGUAAAAUCGGUCUCAGUCCGGAUUGGAGUCUGCAACUCGACUCCAUGAAGUUGGAAUCGCUAGUAAUCGUGGAUCAGCAUGCCACGGUGAAUACGUUCCCGGGCCUU